GACGAACGCUGGCGGCGUGCUUAACACAUGCAAGUCGAACGGAAAGGCCCUGCUUUUGUGGGGUGCUCGAGUGGCGAACGGGUGAGUAACCCGUGAGUAACCUGCCCUUGACUUUGGGAUAACUUCAGGAAACUGGGGCUAAUACCGGAUAGGAGCUCCUGCUGCAUGGUGGGGGUUGGAAAGUUUGGGCGGUUGGGGAUGGACUCGCGGCUUAUCAGCUUGUUGGUGGGGUAGUGGCUUACCAAGGCUUUGACGGGUAGCCGGCCUGAGAGGGUGACCGGCCACAUUGGGACUGAGAUACGGCCCAGACUCCUACGGGAGGCAGCAGUGGGGAAUAUUGCACAAUGGGCGGAAGCCUGAUGCAGCAACGCCGCGUGCGGGAUGACGGCCUUCGGGUUGUAAACCGCUUUCGCCUGUGACGAAGCGUGAGUGACGGUAAUGGGUAAAGAAGCACCGGCUAACUACGUG
This 468-nucleotide ribosomal RNA is filed under the name uncultured bacterium. RNAcentral's name for it is "partial 16S ribosomal RNA". It matches the Rfam family "Bacterial small subunit ribosomal RNA", at positions 28 to 507 of the family's 1533-position model. The record is from RNAcentral.